Molecule: ribosomal RNA, 521 nt
Filed under: uncultured archaeon
Lineage: Archaea
Description: bacterial SSU rRNA
Rfam family: Archaeal small subunit ribosomal RNA
Source: RNAcentral
AAUGCACGCAAGUGCGAUGGGGGGACUCCGAGUGCAGUCUUCCAAAACGGAAGGCCGCUUUUCUGCACUUUAAGCAGGUGCCGAAACAAGGGGUGGGCAAGACGGCUGCCAGCCGCCGCGGUAAUAGCCGCACCCCGAGUGGUAGUCAUUGUUAUUGGGCUUAAAGUGUUCGUAGCCGGACACACAAGUCUGCUGUGAAAUCCAUGCGCUUAACGUAUGGACAUGCAGCGGAUACUGUGUGUCUAGGAACCGGACGGCGUCGAGGCUAUUCCCGGGGUAGGGGUGAAAUCCUAAAAUCCUGGGAGGAGCACCUGUGGCGAAAGCGCUCGACGAGUACGGAUUCGACGGUGAGGAACGAAAGCCAGUGGAGCAAAGCGGAUUAGAUACCCGCGUAGUACUGGCUGUAAACAUUGUGCGUUUGAUGUCGGACAACCUCCGAGGUUGUCCGGUGCCGAAGUGAAAACGUUAAACGCACCGCCUGGGGAGUACGGUCGCAAGGCUGAAACUUAAAGGAAUUGGCA